This 265-nucleotide long non-coding RNA is filed under the name Lathyrus oleraceus (garden pea). RNAcentral's name for it is "Pisum sativum (pea) long non-coding RNA (PSAT_LNC041155)". Lineage: Eukaryota; Viridiplantae; Streptophyta; Magnoliopsida; Fabales; Fabaceae. The record is from RNAcentral.
UGGUUUCAUAGAUAGAUUGAACUACCUGUCAUGGUUCACAUCUCAUCUAACAGCCACGUGUGAACCUAUAUUCAAGAUGUUGAAAAAAAAAAGAUCAAACGGUCAGGUGAAAUAAUGAUUGCCAAGGGGCAUUGAAGAAUAAAAAAGAAUAAGUUGCAGGAACCUCUGAUUCUGAUACCUCCUGUGGAAGGAGCAAUUGUUAAUCUGUACUUGACGGCCUUCGAGGGGUCUACGAGGUGUAUUGGGUCAGCAUGACGCGUCUUGU